AAGUCGUAACAAGGUUUCCGUAGGUGAACCUGCGGAAGGAUCAUUAAUGAAAUGCAAGGACGCUCUUUUUAGAGGUCCGACCCAAAUCAUUUUCCUUUACACUGUGCACAUACUACUUUUUUCUACACCAUUUUUUAACGCAUUAGUCUAAGAAUGUAAAAUCAGUCUCGAAAGAGCAAUAAAGUAAUAAAACUUUCAGCAACGGAUCUCUUGGCUCUC
This 219-nucleotide unclassified non-coding RNA is filed under the name air metagenome. RNAcentral describes it as "partial contains small subunit ribosomal RNA, internal transcribed spacer 1, and 5.8S ribosomal RNA". The stretch from base 1 to 46 matches the Rfam family "Eukaryotic small subunit ribosomal RNA", at positions 1786 to 1831 of the family's 1831-position model. The record is from RNAcentral.